Molecule: long non-coding RNA, 1166 nt
Filed under: Mytilus galloprovincialis (Mediterranean mussel)
Lineage: Eukaryota; Metazoa; Mollusca; Bivalvia; Mytilida; Mytilidae
Source: RNAcentral
AAUAUCUAUACUAUUAAACGAGAAGACCUCAUUUUUGGUGUCGCUUCUCCUCCUUCCACAAUAAAUUGAUCAUUGUAACUGUAUGUCCUAUAGGUACCAUGCAUAGUCGCAUUUGUCAUCCAUUCUUAUGAUUAUUCAGUUUCGGUUAUUUUGGGAGAAAAACGGAAAAAAGAAGUCCGGAUAUGUGUCCGUCAUCACCCCGGCUUUUAUUCAUAGACAACUUCCUCUUCCGUUUAUUUUUCCAGAAGUUUUGUAAAUUUACAUUACAUACCCUAUAUUAUCAUGUUUUAUUUAAGAUUCAUUGACUGAAUCGUUAUAUAAGAAUAUUGUCCCAAGUGUAAACAACAACACAGGCCGUGUGAAAAUAAACAAAAUCAUUUUUUUCAUUCACUUAAGUUUAUUUUUCCAGAAGUUUUGUAAAUUUACAUUACAUACCCUAUAUUAGUCCAAAUAAUUAUGACGUCUGGCAAGGCUAUUGUGGGAUCAAAAAAAGUCAAAAUAGAAAAAUACCCACAGCAGACGGCAUGAUUAUCUGGACUAACCCUAUAUUAUCAUGUUUUAUUUAAGAUUUAUUGACUGAAUCGUUAUAUAAGAAUAUUGUCCCAAGUGUAAACAACAACACAGGCCGCGUGAAAAUAAACACAAUCAUUUGUGUAAUUCACUUAUCGUCACGUAAAUAACGACACAUGCAUAGCCUAUAUUAUCAUGUUUUAUUUAAGAUUCAUGCAAGCCGGGAUUUCAUAAUCAGGACCCUCAAAUCACCCCUCAAAUGAACGUUAGUCAUUUAUACGAGAUUCAAAUCCUACCAUUGGCAUGUUAAUAGGGCUUUCAAAUGGAAAAGCACUGAUGGAAUGUUCUACAAGCACAUUUUAUUAUCUAAUAAUAAUGGUAUAUAAGCAGUUUCAUUUGUUUCAUGAUUGAAGCGGUGCAAAUUUUUAAUUUAAUUUGACUUUUAUCAAAAAUGCAUUGUACCAAAGAGGAAGAAUAAUUGUGGCAUAAGGCCAGAAACACAAAAAAAAUUCGAAUUUAACAGAAAGGAAACACAUAACGGAGGGCUUUUUUAUAACUUAUAUGAAAUUCCCCAGUCAAAAUAUAUUUUACCAAAAAUCAGCCUACAACAGUUUACAAGCUGUAUAUGCCCGCGAUUUCGCGGGUGUGUUCUAGUA